GGGGGGAGGAUCCUGGGCUGUGUCCCGGCGCCCUGUGCUCCGGAGCCUGCGCUGGUGGAUUCGCGCUCCCGCCCCGCAGCCCCCU
This 85-nucleotide microRNA precursor is filed under the name Canis lupus dingo (dingo). RNAcentral describes it as "mir-8799 microRNA precursor family". It matches the Rfam family "mir-8799 microRNA precursor family". The record is from Rfam by way of RNAcentral. Lineage: Eukaryota; Metazoa; Chordata; Mammalia; Carnivora; Canidae.